This 1386-nucleotide ribosomal RNA is filed under the name Triticum aestivum (bread wheat). RNAcentral's name for it is "partial small subunit ribosomal RNA". The record is from RNAcentral. Lineage: Eukaryota; Viridiplantae; Streptophyta; Magnoliopsida; Poales; Poaceae.
AUGGGGGCACGCCGGCGCCUGGCGCUCCUCGCGCUCGCCGUGGCCCUCGCCGCGGCGGCGGCCACCACGGGCCACGCCGGCGUGACCAGCCCGUACCGGCGCAAGCUGGAGGCCACCGCCGACAUGCCGUUCGACGCCGACGUCUUCCGCGUGCCGCCGGGCUACAAUGCCCCUCAGCAGGUGCACAUCACGCUGGGCGACCAGACGGGCACGGCGAUGACGGUGUCGUGGGUGACGGCGAGCGAGCUGGGCAACGGCACGGUGAGGUACGGCCCCUCGCCGGACAAGAUGGAGAUGUCGGCGCAGGGUACGCACACGCGCUACGACUACUUCAACUACACCUCCGGCUUCAUCCACCACUGCACCCUCAGGAACCUCAAGCAUGGCGUGAAGUACUACUACGCGAUGGGGUUCGGCCACACGGUGCGCACCUUCUCCUUCACCGCCCCUCCCAAGCCCGGGCCCGACGUGCCCUUCAAGUUCGGACUCAUCGGUGACCUGGGGCAGACGUUCGACUCCAACAGCACGCUGUCGCACUACGAGGCCAACGGCGGCGACGCGGUGCUCUUCGUGGGCGACCUCUCCUACGCCGACGCCUACCCGCUGCACGACAACCGGCGCUGGGACAGCUGGGCGCGCUUCGUGGAGCGCAGCGUGGCGUACCAGCCCUGGAUCUGGACCGCCGGCAACCACGAGCUGGACUACGCGCCGGAGAUCGGCGAGACGGUGCCCUUCAAGCCCUUCACCCGCCGCUACCGCACGCCGUACCGCGCCGCCGGCAGCACGGAGCCCCUCUGGUACUCGGUCAAGGUCGCCUCCGCCCACAUCAUCGUGCUCUCCUCCUACUCCUCCUACGGCAAGUACACGCCGCAGUGGACGUGGCUGUCCGACGAGCUGGCCCGCGUCGACCGCAAGGCCACGCCGUGGCUCAUCGUGCUCAUGCACUCGCCCUGGUACAACAGCAACAACUACCACUACAUGGAGGGGGAGACGAUGCGGGUGCAGUUCGAGAGCUGGCUCGUCGCCGCCAAGGUGGACAUCGUCCUCGCCGGCCACGUCCACUCCUACGAGCGCAGCCGCCGCUUCUCCAACGUCGCCUACAACAUCGUCAACGGCAAGGCCACGCCCGUGCGCGACUUGGACGCGCCCGUCUACGUCACCAUCGGCGACGGCGGCAACAUCGAGGGCAUCGCCAACAACUUCACGGAGCCGCAGCCGUCCUACUCUGCGUUCAGGGAGGCGAGCUUCGGGCACGCGACGCUGGAGAUCAAGAACCGGACGCACGCCUACUACGCGUGGCACCGGAACCACGACGGCGCCAAGGCCACUGCCGACUCCGUCUGGCUCACCAACAGACACCAUCUCCCCACCGACGACUCCAAGUGA